CAGCCGCCACGGUAAUACGAAGGGUGCAAGCGUUAAUCGGAAUUACUGGGCGUAAAGCGUGCGUAGGCGGUGAGUUAAGUCUGCUGUGAAAUCCCCGGGCUCAACCUGGGAAUGGCAGUGGAUACUGGCUCGCUAGAGUGUGUCAGAGGAUGGUGGAAUUCCCGGUGUAGCGGUGAAAUGCGUAGAGAUCGGGAGGAACAUCAGUGGCGAAGGCGGCCAUCUGGGACAACACUGACGCUGAGGCAUGAAAGCGUGGGGAGCAAACAGGAUUAGAUACCCCCGUAGUCCCUGUCUCUUAUAC
This 301-nucleotide ribosomal RNA is filed under the name uncultured bacterium. Its description in RNAcentral is "partial 16S ribosomal RNA". It matches the Rfam family "Bacterial small subunit ribosomal RNA", at positions 509 to 807 of the family's 1533-position model. The record is from RNAcentral.